Molecule: long non-coding RNA, 2403 nt
Filed under: Chelonus insularis
Lineage: Eukaryota; Metazoa; Arthropoda; Insecta; Hymenoptera; Braconidae
Description: uncharacterized LOC118067955
Source: RNAcentral
UUGGCAAAUGAUGGGACUUAAUUAUAGUAAAUACUAACAUUCGCAUUUAGGCCGGUAUUAUCCAGAGGAUUGGUUUGAGAACCAAGUCCUCCCUUAGGAGCGAUGGAGUUUGAAUCGCCAUUGUGCUCGCCAGAAUCCGUAGCAUCCACCAACUCUACAAUACCUACUUCUUCUUGUAUCAAUCAACAAAAAUAAGAAUUAUGUCCCCUAUUCAUAGAAAGACAUUAGGCCCACUGGAUGUAAGAGUAAAAUUUUAUCGUUUUGUUUUGUUAUUUAUUAUUAACAUCCCAUUAGGAGGUUAUAAUAAUGGGGUCGGUUGUUGAAAUUCGUAAUUUUAUCAUAUUUAAAAAAGACUGUAAAAUAAGUUCAGUGAACAGAAUAUUUGAAAUUGAUUUUACUUAUUGAGUGAUUAAUAUUGUUGAACACUAAGAUUUCAGUUAAUGGGAAGUUCGUUGUCAGGGCACAAAUUAAGCCUGGACCCACUUUUUUCAUCAUAUGAAGAUACCUAACCCUAAAAAUAAUUUAAUUGUUUUUCUGUUAUGACAGUGUUGUCACAAAAUCAACUCUAAUAGCUCUUAUCUCUCUAAUGGUGUAUACGUUAACGCAAUUGCAUAAGAAAUCAACUUGGCACAACGGAGUUCUAGUCGCCAAUCAAUGGAUAUGGAAAUUUUAAAUUAAAUCAAGUAAUUUUCGUGGCUGAGUUAGGAUUCUCAUAAUACUUGAUGGCAUAUGUACAGAUUCUAUGUAGUGCUCAUCACAGAAGAGCUAAUAAUAAAUGAUGGUAAAGCAUGUGACAUUCAGGCUUCCAUCAUUAUCUACCUGCCUCUACCAAUUCUAUUGUGUGAAAGAAAUUUUAAAUAAAAAUAACAUUGGUUGGAAAUCGAUUGAUAAACAUAAAAAAAAUGUAAUCCUCAUCGAUUUUGAAGAAACCAAUUUCAGUAAAUUAUGACUGAGUCGCGUUACUCUCUGUCACAGCGGUGCCUUGGUUAUGUCGGAAAGGAUUGCUCUUAUCAGAGCCACCAACCUGAUUUUUUUAGCGUUUGAUUAGACAUAUUAGAACCUGAAGAAUAUGUUCCAGUGUUCGUUUGUUGACCAGCAUCUUCAGUCUUCAAGGAAAUUUUACCAGCCAUGGAUGGAUUCUUAUUUGACACGUUUCAACAAAAAGCACGUGGCAGUCCACGUGUUUCUACAUCACUACACGAUGCUCUAUGAUUAGAUGUAUAUGAACACAGUGGAGAUCAUUGGUAUUUGUUAGUGUAGUAAGUUGACAAUACAUACUUAUCUCACUUGCAUUUAUUGAAUCUUUACUUCUCUUCAUAUUACUCAUAACCUUACAAAAUGUUUUCCUUUUCAAUUUUCAUCCUGAAUAGAACUACCGGUAAUCAAUUGUCAAUUUUAAUGUAUUAUUCUUAGAAACGUAAGGGUUACUUUAACAAAGAAAUUGACCAAAUUUAGAAUAUCAUAUUGCACAACUUAUUUAUUUACGUUUACCUAACGUUGGAUUGUCAUUUAGAUCAAUCAGACUGAUCAGUUGUGAAUGUUGUAAUAAUAAUAAUUAUUAUGCAAUCAAUUUUAAAAUACUUAGAUAAAUAAAUGAGUUUAACCAAAAAUUUAAUGAAUACAUUUUAUUAUAAUGUGUAUACUUGGUUCAAGAGAAUAAUUGAAGAGUAAAAAAUUGAAUAUUUAUCUUUUUUUCAUUAGUUGGAAUGAUUAUGUGAUAAUAUUUACACAUUAAUCGAUCGGGACCGAUAAUUAUCUUCUGUUCUAUCUAAUAAUGUCUCUUACUUCAUGUAUAUUCAAAUUGAACGAAUUACCUAAAACCAAAAUUGGAAAGAUGACCAUCACAAUAACCACUACUCUCAGAUUGAUUGCUAUUUCUAGAGAGAGAACUUCCACUACUGAAAAGAAAAAAAAAAUGUAAAGUAUUAAAAUGAACAUGAAAGUACAUGUAUCAAAAACUUUAUUCAAAUAAUUGGAAAAAGGUUUGUUGAGAAAAAAAAAAUAUUUAACAUCAACCUUUUAUAUUUUCCAAGUUAUUUAUAACUUAUCUGUUUUUGAUUGAACAAAAAAAAAUAAGAAUACUCUCUGCAAAAAAAGUAAAAUUGUUGGAAAUAUUAUUUCGAUGGAGGGAAAAAAUUACAUAAGAGAUUCAUAAGCUCACGUUUGAUGCCCCGUGACUAGAAAUAAAUGGAGCUACAUAUCUAUCGAUUCCUACACUUAACUCAAUUGGUAUAUUUAUAGUUGGAUGCAAGUAAAAACUCCAUGGAAAAUCAUCAAAGUCACCGUUUUGAAUAGAUUUUACUGGAAAAGGUCACGGUCAUCAUUGAUACUUAUUAUUUAUUUUCAACAAUUGAAUUAAUAUUAUAGCUGGAAAAGCAUACUACUUUAAAAUAUCUCAAUCAA